RNAcentral lists this ribosomal RNA (253 nucleotides) under uncultured bacterium. Its description in RNAcentral is "partial 16S ribosomal RNA". It matches the Rfam family "Bacterial small subunit ribosomal RNA", at positions 524 to 776 of the family's 1533-position model. The record is from RNAcentral.
UACAGAGGGUGCAAGCGUUGUUCGGAAUUAUUGGGCGUAAAGCGCGUGUAGGCGGCUUGGCAAGUCGGGUGUGAAAUCCCUCAGCUUAACUGAGGAAGUGCGCCCGAAACUGCCGAGCUUGAGUACCGGAGAGGGUGGCGGAAUUCCCCAAGUAGAGGUGAAAUUCGUAGAUAUUAGGAAGAACACCAGUGGCGAAGGCGGCUCACUGGCCCGGUACUGACGCUGAGGCGCGAAAGCGUGGGGAGCAAACAGG